This 253-nucleotide ribosomal RNA is filed under the name uncultured bacterium. Its description in RNAcentral is "partial 16S ribosomal RNA". It matches the Rfam family "Bacterial small subunit ribosomal RNA", at positions 524 to 776 of the family's 1533-position model. The record is from RNAcentral.
UACGUAGGGGCCGAGCGUUGUCCGGAGUUAUUGGGCGUAAAGCGCGCGCAGGCGGCCUCGCGCGCCCGACGUGAAAGCCCCCGGCUUAACCGGGGAGGGUCGUUGGGGACGGCGGGGCUUGAGGGCGGGAGAGGGCGGUGGAAUUCCAGGUGUAGCGGUGAAAUGCGUAGAUAUCUGGAGGAACACCGGUGGCGAAGGCGGCAUCCUGGACCAUUACUGACACUGAAAAGCGAAAGCCAGGGGAGCAAACGGG